GCCGGAGAGGGGCGGCGGAGACGGCUCGUCUGUGUCCGAGUCGUCGUCGUCCUCGGGCACCUGAGGCUUGAGCAGCACCGAGCGGCCCCGACUGCGGGGCCGGCGCGGCGAACACAUGAAAACGUCGGCAGCCAUGAGGAGAACCUGGUCCGGGGCAUCCCCCGGGAGCCGGGACGACGGAGAACGGAGAAGCGGCACCAGGAACGGAAGGGGCCGCCGGCCCGACUCGGCCCGGGCCCUCGCGCAGACUGCCCGGGAACGCGCGGCCAGAGGGGGAGGGCGCCGGCCUCCUCGUGACGUCACUGCUCGUCUUAGCCAAUCGGAUGCCCGCCUCUGCCUCUUAAAGGAAAUCCAGUGAGAUGGUUCAGUAGGUAAAUAAAAGCACUUGCUAAGCCUGACCUCCAUUCCAACCCGGGGGACCCACAUGAUAGAAGACUCCCAACAACUUGAUCUGUGACCACUACCCGCCCCUCACUGUGGCAUCUGUGCUUCCCACAAUAAAGAAAGGUAAAAAAAUAAAUAAAUAAAUAAAAGA
Molecule: long non-coding RNA, 535 nt
Filed under: Mus pahari (shrew mouse)
Lineage: Eukaryota; Metazoa; Chordata; Mammalia; Rodentia; Muridae
Description: lncRNA (MGP_PahariEiJ_G0003182.1)
Source: RNAcentral